CGUCGUCCGCGGCGUCGGACGGCCGGGCGGCCUGCGGGGCCGCCCCCGGCGGACGACUGAUCGUUCGAGGUGAAGGGGCGGCGG
This 84-nucleotide transfer RNA is filed under the name Gordonia paraffinivorans. Its description in RNAcentral is "tRNA-Arg(gcg)". Lineage: Bacteria; Bacillati; Actinomycetota; Actinomycetes; Mycobacteriales; Gordoniaceae. The record is from RNAcentral.